UGUUAACUUACAAGUGUAGCA
Molecule: non-coding RNA, 21 nt
Filed under: Caenorhabditis elegans
Lineage: Eukaryota; Metazoa; Nematoda; Chromadorea; Rhabditida; Rhabditidae
Source: RNAcentral